Molecule: ribosomal RNA, 475 nt
Filed under: uncultured organism
Description: partial 16S ribosomal RNA
Rfam family: Bacterial small subunit ribosomal RNA
Source: RNAcentral
CACUCCUACGGGAGGCAGCAGUGGGGAAUUUUGGACAAUGGGCGAAAGCCUGAUCCAGCAAUGCCGCGUGAGUGAAGAAGGCCUUCGGGUUGUAAAGCUCUUUUGUCAGGGAAGAAACGGUGAAAGCUAAUAUCUUUUGCUAAUGACGGUACCUGAAGAAUAAGCACCGGCUAACUACGUGCCAGCAGCCGCGGUAAUACGUAGGGUGCAAGCGUUAAUCGGAAUUACUGGGCGUAAAGCGUGCGCAGGCGGUUUUGUAAGUCUGAUGUGAAAUCCCCGGGCUCAACCUGGGAAUUGCAUUGGAGACUGCAAGGCUAGAAUCUGGCAGAGGGGGGUAGAAUUCCACGUGUAGCAGUGAAAUGCGUAGAUAUGUGGAGGAACACCGAUGGCGAAGGCAGCCCCCUGGGUCAAGAUUGACGCUCAUGCACGAAAGCGUGGGGAGCAAACAGGAUUAGAUACCCGGGUAGUCCCAUGA